CCCAGUAUGGCCGAGCGGUCUAAGGCGCUGGUUUUAAGCACCAGUCCGAAAGGGCGUGGGUUCGAAGCCCACCACUGUCA
This 80-nucleotide transfer RNA is filed under the name Schistocephalus solidus. It matches the Rfam family "tRNA". Rfam says of the family: Transfer RNA (tRNA) molecules are approximately 80 nucleotides in length. Their secondary structure includes four short double-helical elements and three loops (D, anti-codon, and T loops). Further hydrogen bonds mediate the characteristic L-shaped molecular structure. tRNAs have two regions of fundamental functional importance: the anti-codon, which is responsible for specific mRNA codon recognition, and the 3' end, to which the tRNAs corresponding amino acid is attached (by aminoacyl-tRNA synthetases). tRNAs cope with the degeneracy of the genetic code in two manners: having more than one tRNA (with a specific anti-codon) for a particular amino acid; and 'wobble' base-pairing, i.e. permitting non-standard base-pairing at the 3rd anti-codon position. The record is from Rfam by way of RNAcentral. Lineage: Eukaryota; Metazoa; Platyhelminthes; Cestoda; Diphyllobothriidea; Diphyllobothriidae.